This 467-nucleotide ribosomal RNA is filed under the name uncultured bacterium. RNAcentral describes it as "partial 16S ribosomal RNA". It matches the Rfam family "Bacterial small subunit ribosomal RNA", at positions 28 to 506 of the family's 1533-position model. The record is from RNAcentral.
GACGAACGCUGGCGGCGUGCUUAACACAUGCAAGUCGAACGGAAAGGCCCUGCUUUUGUGGGGUGCUCGAGUGGCGAACGGGUGAGUAACACGUGAGUAACCUGCCCUUGACUUUGGGAUAACUUCAGGAAACUGGGGCUAAUACCGGAUAGGAGCUCCUGCUGCAUGGUGGGGGUUGGAAAGUUUCGGCGGUUGGGGAUGGACUCGCGGCUUAUCAGCUUGUUGGUGGGGUAGUGGCUUACCAAGGCUUUGACGGGUAGCCGGCCUGAGAGGGUGACCGGCCCCAUUGGGCCUGGGAUACGGCCCAGACUCCUACGGGGGGAAGGAGUGGGGAAUAUUGCACAAUGGGCGGAAGCCUGAUGCAGCAACGCCGCGUGCGGGAUGACGGCCUUCGGGUUGUAAACCGCUUUCGCCUGUGACGAAGCGUGAGUGACGGUAAUGGGUAAAGAAGCACCGGCUAACUACGU